This 451-nucleotide ribosomal RNA is filed under the name uncultured bacterium. RNAcentral describes it as "partial 16S ribosomal RNA". It matches the Rfam family "Bacterial small subunit ribosomal RNA", at positions 328 to 793 of the family's 1533-position model. The record is from RNAcentral.
UUUCCAGACUCCUACGGGAGGCAGCAGUGGGGAAUAUUGGGCAAUGGGCGCAAGCCUGACCCAGCAACGCCGCGUGAAGGAAGAAGGCUUUCGGGUUGUAAACUUCUUUUCUCAGGGACGAAGAAAGUGACGGUACCUGAGGAAUAAGCCACGGCUAACUACGUGCCAGCAGCCGCGGUAAUACGUAGGUGGCAAGCGUUGUCCGGAUUUACUGGGUGUAAAGGGCGUGCAGCCGGGAAGACAAGUCAGAUGUGAAAUCCCGCGGCUCAACCGCGGAACUGCAUUUGAAACUGUUUUUCUUGAGUACCGGAGAGGUCAUCGGAAUUCCUUGUGUAGCGGUGAAAUGCGUAGAUAUAAGGAAGAACACCAGUGGCGAAGGCGGAUGACUGGACGGCAACUGACGGUGAGGCGCGAAAGCGUGGGGAGCAAACAGGAUUAGAUACCCCGGUAU